CAAAACAAAACAAAGCCAAGCUCUGUACCCAUGCCGGUGCCUCGGGUAGAUAACAACCCUUUAUGGUGGCGGGGGAUGGGGAUGGGGACAGGAGGAGGAAGUGCCUCUCUGUGGAAGAGCCUCUUUCCCCAGAGUUCUUGCCCAGAGUUGAGGGUAUGGGUGGAUGGGAGGCAGGCACAGUUCGGCCUGGCUCCCUAUGGUGGUGAACAUCUCUGGCUAUGUCUUCAAGAAAUUUUCUGGACUAGGUUAGCUGAGGUGGGAAACCCCGCCCUGAACGAACAUGGCACCCUCCCAUGGACGGGAUCUGGAACGCAUGAAAAGGGGAAAGUGGACUGCGCACCAGCGAUCGUGUCUCUCUGCUUCCUGACUGGGUGCAGUGUGACCAGCUGCCUCACCGGCUGUGACUCCUCACCAUCCCAGACUGCACCUCAGACUGUGAGCCCAAGUAAGCCCUUCCUGCCUUAAGUCUUCUUUGUCAGGCAACUUGCCACAGCAAGAAAAUAACAUGCUCCCUUUUGUUCCUGCCACCGCUCUUGAUGCUGAUGGACAGACAGACGGACAGAUACUCCCACUGUCCCUCUGGAGAGGCGUCGGGCAUGCUGGGCCUUCCUUUUCCAGCCUUUGAGAUCAGUCUGCCCUCUCCACAGGGCCAAUAGUUUCCUUAGGAGUCUAUGAAAAUAUUUUCAUUUCAAGUCAGAAGAAAAACUUUUUGUUUGUUUUGUUUGGUUUUUGAAUGCCCUGUGUGUUGUGAGUGCAGCCUGGGUGACAGGGCUUCCUACCAGGGAAACAUACUCCCGGACAUUGGCUGACAGGAGGAGAGGCCCUGGGAGGAAAAGGUACCUGGGCCUGAGGUCAGAUUACCUCCCACUUACAAAGUUAGGGCCUGCAAGACAUCAGUCAACUUGACUCCAUCGGAUGUCAGGGCUGGUUCCACAGGGCGGGCCAUCUCAGGCUUAGACAGGGCAGAACCACGAGCACGGCACACCUCCCAGUUUGGUGAGUCCCACACUCCACGGGGGCUGCCACCAGCAAUUCACAGGAGGCCAGCCUGAGGGAGACAAGAGAGGCAGAGCCAGAAGCCUUUUCCUGGCCACCGUCUUCCUCUGUCAGCUUCCCCAGGCUCUAGACCUGGUGCUCACCCCAAUAAAUGGUCUGCCCCCCUCAUUCCCAGAGGCUACAGAGCUGAGGAGCUACAGGGCGAUGUCUUAGCUCCAUUCUCCGCGGUCAUUUCAUGUCCUCUCCUGAAGAGAAAGAAAAUAUAGCAUAGACCCUUAUCGGUGCCUAGCGGGUUGGAGACUGGAAGAGCUGAUGUUCCAGUCCAAAACCAGGCCUGGGUUCUAGCUGGGAGGCAGUUGGGAGACUCGCUUUCCAAGAUGGUGGGAGUGGCAUGCCCUUGAGCCUUUUAAUCUUAGUUGUAUCUCGGCCUGAGGGGAUGGGAGGUCAUCUGCCAUACACAAUGUAUCAAACAAGGUUAAUCCUCCCUCUUUUGCAGAGGCACUUGGUGACAGUGGUGAUACUGACAGAUCUAUGACAACAAACUUAAAGGACACUUCGUUCUGGCUCACAGUUUUGGAGGCCCUGGGCCAGAGCUGAUUGGCUCCAUUCCUUUUAUGGUAAAAUACAAAGGCAUUGAUCUGCUGGGCAGGAAGCAAGAGCAGAGUAGGGCCCCACCGCUCUGGAGCAGAGCUCCCUGACCUAAAGGCUUCCCAGUAGCCCCACCUCCUAAAGGCUUCAUCCCUUCCAAUAGGGAUCCUUGAGCACAAGGGUCUCUGGGGGCUCCUGCCUGGCCCUGGGGACAAGAGCUGGCAUCAGAUGAGGUCCACUCAAUAGAGCCAGGACCACUUGAGCAGGCUCCCCCUGGGCGACAGACCCAGAAGCCACCCAUCACAGGUGUGAAGUGGUCUAGCCAGGGCAAGACUGGCAAAGCAGGGUGGCUAGCCUGGGCUUACAUUUCAGCUGUGGACUGACUACACACAGCAAUGGAUGGCAUGGGUUGGGGACAGAGCUAGGAGAGGCACAGGCAGCAGCUCUGACUCCUACCUCUAACCAGGGCACAGUGAGAGCUCCUGAUUGUCUCUUCCUGGUUAAGCCCAAGGUCAGGGUGAGCGGCAGCCCAGUCCUCCCCCGUGAAGAGAGAACAGCCCUGGGCAGCGUGUGGUAGUGAGUCUCAGAUUUAACUGGGACAGCUAAUCCCCUCCGGAAAAACAAAAGCAAGGGACACUCAGUGGCUAGAUGCCUUCACCCUGGCUCCAGCCCUGGGUUGAUGUCCUUGGCAUGGCCACAGCGUGUCCUGGGGCCACUGUGAGUUGCUUCAGGACGGCCUGUCCAUAGCACCUGUACCACAUGACCUGUGUCUUUCCUUCAAGGCACACUGACCUGGCCAAAGCGAACAGGGACAAACCGCCACCCUUGUUACAAGAGUCCAUGAGGGUUUCGUGACUACUGGCUUGACCAAGAGAUGGCUGUUUUGGGCGUUCUAAGGUAACUUACUGCCUAGUUUCAUGGCAGAGGGAUGGACACUGGAACUAUUACUGUGGAAAGCAAUACAGCAAGCACUGUCAUUUUACCGUUUUGGAGCAUAGGACUCAACACUCCAGUGGUUUUACCCUUGCUGUAUUUAUGUGGGGACAGCAUUGCCGUCUUCCCAGAAUGCCUCCAAGUCCUUGGUUUUCAGUUUUUAAAUGACAUGUAUUUAAGGUACCUGUGUAUAUGCUGUGGGUGUACAUGGCAUACUAUGGGCAUGGAGGUCAGAGGAGCCCAAGGUCCUCACAGUGGAGCACUGGUCCUUAGGCUUGGCGGUGAGCACCCACCCACUGAGCCAUCCUGUCAAAGCCUUCAUUUUUCAGGCAGAACUGGGUCCAGUUGGUUUGUUUCAUGACAUUGAUAAAAACUCCCCUGGUGCUUGAGAACUGCAGGUACCCCAAGGUUUAGGUUUGGUUAGAUUUCGAAUCAAAGAAAAAAUGGGGCUGGGUAUGGUGGCACACACCUGUAAUACCAGCACUUGGGAGGCAGUGGCAGGAUAGUGAGUUUCAAGCCAGACCAGCCUUCGGAGUAUGUUCUAGGAUAGCCUGGGCUACGUGCCAAAACUCUGUCAAAGAAAAACAUGGUGUCGUUCAGGAUGAACACACGUUAGCAACCUGGCCUAGUUAGGGCAUGCCACUCCAGGGGGGUCAGGUCUCAACAGUCCAGACAGCACUUUGGGUUGGAUGUUCGUAAGCCUUGUGUGUUCUUAGGCUAUCUCUCAUCUCCACAGAAUGUGACCCUGGAGCCGAGGCGAGGAAAGGCAGGUUUGCCUUGACCGACCGCCCUUAAGUCUUUCCUCAGGUUGCAAGCUCAGCAGAAGUCUGGUGGGUCAAGCCACUUUCCAUCUUGCCUGCAAAUCAUCGGCCAGCAGGGUUCACAUGCCGGGUAAUGAACACGCGGGGAGUCUCUUGCUUUCUGUCUGAUCGGACACCCCAGCUGUGCCCUCUAAGGACAGAUCAAGGACUCAGCUAGAAUAGAGAUCGCUCUUCCCUUUGAAGAGGUUCUGUCUUUGCACCCUGCAAGGACCAUGACGACCUUCCUCCCUGACCUGUGCCCUACUGUCCUGGGCUCUGCUGCCUCUGCAGACCCCAGAAACAGGAGAGCCAGGAUGAGGUCACUCUGGCCACCUAUUGUCCUGAGUUACCUGCUCGGAGAAAUCUAUUUUACUCUUAAGCAACACAAUAACACCAGGAGCGAGGUUGUGAGACAGGGUUUUGGCAUGUAGCCCAGGCUAUCCUAGAACCCACUCUGCAGUACAUGUCUGAUGUGCUGAACUGCACAGCAGGCCUUGGAGAGGCACAGAGACUACCCACCAUCCACUCAGCAGCGUGGCCCCCCUUGCCUUUGGGCACCAGCAGCUUCUUUUCAAUCUCUGUUCUUCCUAGAGGCCUUCCCAAGAAGAAAAGGACACUCUUCUUAAACAGUUCACAUUUAUUAUUGUAACAAUAAAAAAAUCUUUUAAAGACUAUCAGUAUUGUAUUACCAAGAGUGAGGUAAUAUGUUUACAAAACAUUUACAGAAUUUGAUAUGCAAAUAAUGGUUCAGGGAGGAGUGAGUUAAGACACUAGAAACAGGAGAGCCCAGAGAGUGCAGGGAGCAGCAUGUUAGGGGAGUGCUGGGCACUGGACAAGCAGCUCUGUGAGCCACACAGUCACCUCACAGCCAGCCUCCCUCACAAGGCAGCCAGUGCCCUGUGGCCUGGGGAAGCUCAAGGCCUGUGAAUGUGUAGUUGUGUGCUUUGAGCUCUUAAAGAUGCUAUCAGCUCUGAGGGGGCUGAACAGAGACACUUCUGAAUGGACUUAAAGGGAGCAGCUCUUCAGCCUGGGGCAUGGCUGCGACUCAGAUAGGUCUACAAACAUCCCUGGGCACAUGUGGGCUGUCGAGUGAAGCGCUUUCUUGGAGGUUGUCAGCAAAAUCGCCAUCUGGGACAUGGAGAAAGGGAGAGGGAAAAGGAGAGAGAAGAGAGAAAGAGCAGGGGCAUCUUCAGGUCCUUUCGCUUGGAGCUGGGGAGCCCUGACUGAAGCAGUGUGGACGCGGCAGCCACAGCCCCGCUGUGCGUGUACAAGCAGCCCCCACACACACGAAAUGCACAGCAGUGGACCCAGAACGGCCAGCAAGCAUAGCUCAGGGUGCCAGGAGCCAGAGGGCUCACUGGCCAAGCAGGCUGCUGCCGUCUCCCCUCAUGCUUGCGACAUGCCACACCCUCUACAGAGCUCUCAAAUCACACCGCCAGUCAGCCAGCGCCUCAGAGCAGCAUCCACAUCGGAGUCCACUCCCCUCACCCCUCACACACUCACAGCCAUACUGAUUUGGCACACAUCUUUAGACAUUGUUACCACACAAACAGAUUCUGCGCCCUUUUCUGGAGAUCAGCCACCUGCAACUUCUAGACAGCUCGGUAAGAAGCAUGCUUUCCCAUAAAAGCUGUGAACUGAGGAGCUGCUCUAACAGCAGGCUUUGAGAAGUCAGGAUCAGAAAAAAAAAGAGAGACGAACCCAAGCCUCUGAUCCACUUCUCUGAAAUGCAGACAGAACAAGUGCAGCCCUACGGCCCCUCCCCAGCAGCACCCCACUCCCUCAUGCACACACACA
RNAcentral lists this small RNA (5114 nucleotides) under Rattus norvegicus (Norway rat). RNAcentral's name for it is "uncharacterized LOC102547461". The record is from RNAcentral. Lineage: Eukaryota; Metazoa; Chordata; Mammalia; Rodentia; Muridae.